Molecule: ribosomal RNA, 301 nt
Filed under: uncultured bacterium
Lineage: Bacteria
Description: partial 16S ribosomal RNA
Rfam family: Bacterial small subunit ribosomal RNA
Source: RNAcentral
CAGUCGCCGCGGUAAUACGGAGGGUGCAAGCGUUGUCCGGAUUUAUUGGGUUUAAAGGGUGCGUAGGCGGCUAUUUAAGUCAGCGGUGAAAGACUCCGGCUCAACCGGAGCAGUGCCAUUGAUACUGGAUAGCUUGAGUGUUGGAGGGGUACAUGGAAUUGAUGGUGUAGCGGUGAAAUGCAUAGAUACCAUCAGGAACACCGAUAGCGAAGGCAUUGUACUGGCCAACAACUGACGCUGAGGCACGAAAGCAUGGGGAGCGAACAGGAUUAGAUACCCCUGUAGUCCCUGUCUCUUAUAC